This 738-nucleotide ribosomal RNA is filed under the name uncultured bacterium. RNAcentral's name for it is "bacterial SSU rRNA". It matches the Rfam family "Bacterial small subunit ribosomal RNA", at positions 28 to 762 of the family's 1533-position model. The record is from RNAcentral.
GAUGAACGCUAGCGGCAGGCCUAAUACAUGCAAGCUGAACGGUAAAUGUUGUAGCAAUACGAUAUGAGAGUAGCGUAAGGGUGCGUAACACGUAUGCAAUCUACCCGCAACAGGAGGAUAGCUCCCCGAAAGGGGAAUUAAUACUCCAUAAUAUCACGAGAGGGCAUCUGAUUGUGAUUAAACUCCAAGGGGUUGCGGAUGAGCAUGCGUCUGAUUAGUUAGUUGGUGAGGUAACGGCUCACCAAGACGAUGAUCAGUAGGGGAACUGAGAGGUUGAUCCCCCACACUGGCACUGAGAUACGGGCCAGACUCCUACGGGAGGCAGCAGUAGGGAAUAUUGGUCAAUGGGUGAAAGCCUGAACCAGCCAUGCCGCGUGCAGGAAGAAAAGCCUUCUGGUUGUAAACUGCUUUUUAUCUGGGGAUAAAAUACCCGUGCGCGGGGAAUUGAAGGUACCAGAUGAAUAAGCCAACGGCUAACUACGUGCCAGCAGCCGCGGUAAUACGUAGGUGGCAAGCGUUGUCCGGAUUUAUUGGGUUUAAAGGGUGCGUAGGCGGCUUUGUAAGUCAGUGGUGAAUACGGCAGCUCAACUGUCGAGGUGCCAUUGAUACUGCAGAGCUAGAGUACUGAUGAGGUAGGCGGAAUGGACGGUGUAGCGGUGAAAUGCUAGAUAUCGUCCAGAACACCGAUAGCGAAGGCAGCUUACUAAAGAGUAACUGACGCUGAGGCACGAAAAGUGU